Molecule: small nucleolar RNA, 107 nt
Organism: Malania oleifera
Lineage: Eukaryota; Viridiplantae; Streptophyta; Magnoliopsida; Santalales; Ximeniaceae
Source: RefSeq, a predicted model, not a curated record
ACAUGACGAUGUGGGCAUUUAUGGAGUAGGUCCCUAAAACGAUCCCAAGUCUCAAAGAAAAGUUCCCCAUCCAUCUGUGUGAAUCUCAUGAUUGCCCUUCGUAAUUG